RNAcentral lists this ribosomal RNA (305 nucleotides) under uncultured bacterium. Its description in RNAcentral is "partial 16S ribosomal RNA". It matches the Rfam family "Bacterial small subunit ribosomal RNA", at positions 508 to 807 of the family's 1533-position model. The record is from RNAcentral.
ACAGCAGUCGCCGCGGUAAUACGGAGGAUCCAAGCGUUAUCCGGAAUUAUUGGGUUUAAAGGGUGCGUAGGCGGCAUGCUAAGUCAGGGGUGAAAGACGGUGGCUCAACCAUCGCAGUGCCUUUGAUACUGGUGUGCUUGAAUGUACAUGAGGUAGGCGGAAUGUGGCAAGUAGCGGUGAAAUGCAUAGAUAUGCCACAGAACACCGAUUGCGAAGGCAGCUUACCAAGGCAAUAUUGACGCUGAGGCACGAAAGCGUGGGGAUCGAACAGGAUUAGAUACCCCUGUAGUCCCUGUCUCUUAUAC